RNAcentral lists this unclassified non-coding RNA (306 nucleotides) under plant metagenome. RNAcentral's name for it is "partial contains 5.8S ribosomal RNA, internal transcribed spacer 2, and large subunit ribosomal RNA". The stretch from base 1 to 105 matches the Rfam family "5.8S ribosomal RNA", at positions 50 to 154 of the family's 154-position model. The record is from RNAcentral.
GAAAUGCGAUAAGUAAUGUGAAUUGCAGAAUUUAGUGAAUCAUCGAAUCUUUGAACGCACAUUGCGCCCGCCAGUAUUCUGGCGGGCAUGCCUGUCCGAGCGUCAUUUCAACCAUCAAGCCCCCGGGCUUGUGUUGGGGACCUGCGGCUGCCCGCAGGCCCUGAAAACCAGUGGCGGGCUCGCUGUCACACCGAGCGUAGUAGCAAUCACCUCGCUCAGGGCGUGCUGCGGGUUCCGGCCGUUAAACAGCCUUACAAAACCCAAGGUUGACCUCGGAUCAGGUAGGAAGACCCGCUGAACUUAAGC